RNAcentral lists this ribosomal RNA (426 nucleotides) under uncultured bacterium. RNAcentral's name for it is "bacterial SSU rRNA". It matches the Rfam family "Bacterial small subunit ribosomal RNA", at positions 355 to 773 of the family's 1533-position model. The record is from RNAcentral.
UGGGGAAUAUUGGACAAUGGGCGCAAGCCUGAUCCAGCAAUGCCGCGUGUGUGAAGAAGGCCUUCGGGUUGUAAAGCACUUUUAUCAGGAGCGAAAUCUGCAUGCUUAAUACGUGUGCAGUCUGACGGUAACUGCGGAAUACGCCCCGGCUAACUUCGUGCCAGCAGCCGCGGUAAUCCGAAGGGUGCAAGCGUUAAUCGGAAUUACUGGGCGUAAAGGGUGCGUAGGCGGUUCGUUAAGUCUGUCGUGAAAUCCCCGGGCUCAACCUGGGAAUGGCGAUGGAUACUGGCGAGCUAGAGUGUGUCAGAGGAUGGUGGAAUUCCCGGUGUAGCGGUGAAAUGCGUAGAGAUCGGGAGGAACAUCAGUGGCGAAGGCGGCCAUCUGGGACAACACUGACGCUGAAGCACGAAAGCGUGGGGAGCAAAC